GGCCCCUCAGCCAGCCCUUUGGCUGCAGCCCUGGGCCCACUCUGCCCGCUGAACUGCCCAGGGCCGAGGACACGAUGGGUGACCAGACGCGUGCAGCGUGUGGCCUCCUGCAUACCCGUGUUUUCAUUGCUUGCCGUGUGAUGGUGUGUUCAGUGUCGUUCCCAAGUAUCAUGGGGUGGCCCCUUAAUAGAGUUGUCAUUUACUUACUUGGAAGUCAGCAUUACAGGGGCCGGCAUUGGGGCAUAGCAGAUGGCGCCGCCGCCUGUGACGCCAGCAUCUUAAAUGGGCACCGGUUCGAGGCCCGGCUGCUCCACUUCUGAUCCGGCUCCCUGCUCGUGGCCUGGGAAAGCAGUGGGCGUCUGCUUUGGCCUGGCCCAGCCCUGGCUGGUGCGGCUUCCCAGGGAGACCACUUGAAGUCAAUCCACCUGCCCUUCCCGGGGGCUGCCCUGGCACCUGCAGCCCCUUGGUGGGCCGGGGUGAACUGGCCCGAAGGUUGGCCGGGGCUGGGUGACGGUGCUGCCAGGCAAGUCGCUGGCCAGGCAGGGAGCCGCGCCGCUCGCCUGGAGAGACGGCAGUGGCCUGGCGGCUGGGUGUUUCCCGACUGAAGCUGCCCGUGGUGGGGGUCCCCCUGGUGCCUGAAGAUGCCCCCUCCAAAAUCAGCACGGGAGACCCUGUCCCUCCGGCGGGCAGGACGGGGAGUGACAGUGGUGUUCUGAACAGCAGGCCACUGCCUUAGACUGAGGCUAGCGGGCCGGGGCUGGGCGGGGGCAGAGCACAGGUGCGUGCAGGUUGGGGUCUGGGCACCAGGAGGGGGUGUGCGCGGAGUGUGGGCUGCAGUGCACCGCGGGGUCCCUGGCCCAGCUGAUCCCUGGGGACACCCAUCCAGCCAUCUUGGGGACGUCCCACCCCAGCCUCCCUGGGGCCGUCUACCCCAGCCUCCCUGGGGAUAACCACCCCAACCUCCCUAGAGCCGUCCACCCCCGCCUCCCUGGGGACGUCCAUCCCGGCCACCCAGCCUCUCUGGGGACACCCACCCCGGCUUCCCUGGGGACGGCCACCCAGCCUCUCUGGGGACACCCACCCCGGCUUCCCUGGGGACAUCCACCCCGGCUUCCCUGGGUCCCCCUGGGAGUUGCCCCACACUGACUUUUCUCACCUGGCCCGAGGGCCAGCCUGCAGCCAAGACUGCUCCGUGCAGCUGGGCGCCCCCGGCGAGGCUGGGCUCUGCUCCCUGCCCGCCCAGUGGUCUGCGGGCAGCCCCGAGCCCACCUGACCUCCCCUGGGUGCAGUUACAGUCUCCAGAGCCGCCAGCCUCAGUGU
RNAcentral lists this long non-coding RNA (1320 nucleotides) under Oryctolagus cuniculus (rabbit). RNAcentral's name for it is "lncRNA (ENSOCUG00000035267.1)". Lineage: Eukaryota; Metazoa; Chordata; Mammalia; Lagomorpha; Leporidae. The record is from RNAcentral.